Molecule: ribosomal RNA, 254 nt
Filed under: uncultured bacterium
Lineage: Bacteria
Description: partial 16S ribosomal RNA
Rfam family: Bacterial small subunit ribosomal RNA
Source: RNAcentral
UACAGAGGGUGCGAGCGUUGUCCGGAAUUACUGGGCGUAAAGCGCGCGCAGGCGGCUUUCUAAGUCCAUCGGUCAAAUGCCGGGGCUCAACCCCGUGCCCGCCGAGGAUACUGGGAGGCUGGAGACACGUAGAGGCAAGCGGAAUUCCGGGUGUAGCGGUGGAAUGCGUAGAGAUCCGGAAGAACACCGGAGGCGAAGGCGGCUUGCUGGGCUUGGUCUGACGCUGAGGCGCGAAAGCGUGGGGAGCGAACAGG